Molecule: ribosomal RNA, 372 nt
Filed under: Triticum aestivum (bread wheat)
Lineage: Eukaryota; Viridiplantae; Streptophyta; Magnoliopsida; Poales; Poaceae
Description: partial small subunit ribosomal RNA
Source: RNAcentral
AUGAAUACCACUCAGAAAGUUGAUCCAGGGGAACCAGCUGCUAAGAUUGCUCAACAAGCCUCUCAGUUCAAACGAUGGGGACGCAGACAUCCAUUUGUUCGAUAUGGUCUUCCACUCAUUUCGUUGACAGUGUUUGGUGCGGUUGGUCUAGCUCAUCUUAUACAGGGAAGCAAAGAAGUAACAAAGGAAAAGGAGGAUAUGGAAUGGGAGGUCGUAGAGAAAACAAAAGCUCUGAGCCGAACAGGACCGGUUGAAGGGGCCUAUAAGCCUAAGAAGCUCUCACUAGAGGAUGAACUCAAGGCUUUGCAGCAAAAGGUGGACAUAAACAGCUACGACUACAAGAGAAUUCCCAAACAAAAUGAAAACAAGUGA